GUACUCUUGCAAUCGUGGCUGAUGCAGGCAGCAUCCUUCUGCAGAAGUAAAUUGCCUUGCCGAGAAAACUUUUUGUCUGAGUGCAGGUUCUUCUUUGUGGCACCGAGCAUUUGUUUCCAACACCAGGAAGCCAGCCCGCCAUCUACACUAACCAACCUAGGAAGCCAGCCUGCUGUCUACAGUGAUCAGCCCAGGAGCCUGCCUGCUACGUACCAAUCAGUCUGUUAUGGAACAAUCCGAAUGACUGAAUCACAGCACCACAGUAAUGAUUCUGCAACACUGAACUUGACUGUCCCAAGGAAAUCACAACUGCCAUCUCAAGAAAGCCUGUCUGCAGCAACCAUUCCAUGGUCCUCAAAGUCGUGGCCACCGGAGAGGCUGGUUUCAAUUCGCCCCCAACUCCGGCUGGAGAGAGUUGAGGAGGAAGGCAGCGGCCUGGGCUGAGUGGGAAAUGCCUGCACUGGAGGGAACUUUGAACCCUCGUUUUCACCCAGUCCCAUCGAGAAGCCAAGUGCUCCCUCCUCAGGCCAGAGCUCCCAGCUGCAGACACAGGUUCAGCCCCCAGCUGAGCGAGGAGCGGCUUCCAUGCCGGGGCCUGCCUCUCUGCCGCUCUCCACCGGUCCUUCGCAGCCGCUCCGAUGCUCUCCACGGGUCCUUUGCAGCCGCGUCCUGGCCCUGAGGCGGUGACACAGAAGCCCACGUCCGUUUCCUUUCUGCUUGCCUGUUUGUAGUUUUGGAAUCUGAGUGGAAGGGCACAUGCUGUGGAUCAUAUUCUCCUUCUAGUCUCUCGGUUGCUCACGUGGGAAGAGAACCCCAGCGGGAGUGAUUCAGGAGGCGGGCGCUGCCACGUCCUGACUGCAGAGAACCUCCUGGAGAAACAGAAGCCAUGGGUCCUGAUGCCCGAGCCGGCGACGACUCUGAGCACACUGUGAGCAGAGAACCUCCUGGAGAAACAGAGGCCAUGGGUCCUGACGCCUGAGCCAGCAACUUACUCUGAGCACACUGUGAAGGGCGGCUGUGAAUUUUUCUUCUUUCUCAAACAACGAUGCAAUCAUUGGGAUCACUUGUCCUCCUGGGAUGGGUUUGUGUGAGACUGAUGUCUUCCGAAAAACACAGCCCCAAGGGAGUCGAGACGAUGUACCAGGUAGAAUAAGGCACAGGGGAGCCGCUUGACAAAUCAGACGACGGCAGCCGGCCUGCCUGCCCGGCGUGGGGGCUCCUGGGGAAACGACGACUUCUGAUGCCUGACCACCCCCAGGCUGACGCCCUCCCUCCUGCCCAGGGCUGAGGCUGGACCCAGGGCACCUCCUUCGAAUGGCCUCUCUCUUCCUCCCUAACACAGAGCAAUCAACAGCUGUAUAAAAUAAUUGCCCUAAAAUCACAAAUUAAAAGAAAAUCAGCAGCCAAAGUUCCUUCCUGA
This is a long non-coding RNA of Homo sapiens (human), 1420 nucleotides long. Ensembl annotates it as long intergenic non-protein coding RNA 1164. NCBI's taxonomy places the organism in Eukaryota, Metazoa, Chordata, Mammalia, Primates, Hominidae. The record is from Ensembl.